UAGCUACAGGCUUAACACAUGCAAGUCGAGGGGCAGCAUGGUCUUAGCUUGCUAAGGCCGAUGGCGACCGGCGCACGGGUGAGUAACACGUAUCCAACCUGCCGUCUACUCUUGGACAGCCUUCUGAAAGGAAGAUUAAUACAAGAUGGCAUCAUGAGUCCACAUGUUCACAUGAUUAAAGGUAUUCCGGUAGACGAUGGGGAUGCGUUCCAUUAGAUAGUAGGCGGGGUAACGGCCCACCUAGUCUUCGAUGGAUAGGGGUUCUGAGAGGAAGGUCCCCCACAUUGGAACUGAGACACGGUCCAAACUCCUACGGGAGGCAGCAGUGAGGAAUAUUGGUCAAUGGGCGAGAGCCUGAACCAGCCAAGUAGCGUGAAGGAUGACUGCCCUAUGGGUUGUAAACUUCUUUUAUAAAGGAAUAAAGUCGGGUAUGCAUACCCGUUUGCAUGUACUUUAUGAAUAAGGAUCGGCUAACUCCGUGCCAGCAGCCGCGGUAAUACGGAGGAUCCGAGCGUUAUCCGGAUUUAUUGGGUUUAAAGGGAGCGUAGAUGGAUGUUUAAGUCAGUUGUGAAAGUUUGCGGCUCAACCGUAAAAUUGCAGUUGAUACUGGAUAUCUUGAGUGCAGUUGAGGCAGGCGGAAUUCGUGGUGUAGCGGUGAAAUGCUUAGAUAUCACGAAGAACUCCGAUUGCGAAGGCAGCCUGCUAAGCUGCAACUGACAUUGAGGCUCGAAAGUGUGGGUAUCAAACAGGAUUAGAUACCCUGGUAGUCCACACGGUAAACGAUGAAUACUCGCUGUUUGCGAUAUACGGCAAGCGGCCAAGCGAAAGCGUUAAGUAUUCCACCUGGGGAGUACGCCGGCAACGGUGAAACUCAAAGGAAUUGACGGGGGCCCGCACAAGCGGAGGAACAUGUGGUUUAAUUCGAUGAUACGCGAGGAACCUUACCCGGGCUUAAAUUGCAGAUGAAUUACGGUGAAAGCCGUAAGCCGCAAGGCAUCUGUGAAGGUGCUGCAUGGUUGUCGUCAGCUCGUGCCGUGAGGUGUCGGCUUAAGUGCCAUAACGAGCGCAACCCUUGUUGUCAGUUACUAACAGGUUCCGCUGAGGACUCUGACAAGACUGCCAUCGUAAGAUGUGAGGAAGGUGGGGAUGACGUCAAAUCAGCACGGCCCUUACGUCCGGGGCUACACACGUGUUACAAUGGGGGGUACAGAGGGCCGCUACCACGCGAGUGGAUGCCAAUCCCCAAAACCUCUCUCAGUUCGGACUGGAGUCUGCAACCCGACUCCACGAAGCUGGAUUCGCUAGUAAUCGCGCAUCAGCCACGGCGCGGUGAAUACGUUCCCGGGCCUUGUACACACCGCCCGUCAAGCCAUGGGAGCCGGGGGUACCUGAAGUGCGUAACCGCGAGGAGCGCCCUAGGGUAAAACUGGUGACUGGGGCU
RNAcentral lists this ribosomal RNA (1441 nucleotides) under uncultured organism. Its description in RNAcentral is "SSU rRNA". It matches the Rfam family "Bacterial small subunit ribosomal RNA". The record is from RNAcentral.